CGCAGAUUUCUGAGUGAGUCCGGUAAUGGUAAGAGAUUGAAGUGACUGUUGCACAUUGAAGGCAGCCGCUCAAUCUCCUUGCCAUAGCCGGCAACUCAGAAAGACGA
Molecule: microRNA precursor, 107 nt
Filed under: Pristionchus pacificus
Lineage: Eukaryota; Metazoa; Nematoda; Chromadorea; Rhabditida; Neodiplogasteridae
Description: microRNA ppc-mir-2270 precursor
Source: miRBase by way of RNAcentral